CCUACGGGUGGCUGCAGUGGGGAAUAUUGGACAAUGGGGGGAACCCUGAUCCAGCCAUGCCGCGUGUGUGAAGAAGGCCCUCGGGUUGUAAAGCACUUUCAGUGAGGAAGAACGCCUGGUGGUUAAUACCCAUCAGUAAAGACAUCACUCACAGAAGAAGCACCGGCUAACUCCGUGCCAGCAGCCGCGGUAAUACGGAGGGUGCGAGCGUUAAUCGGAAUUACUGGGCGUAAAGCGCGCGUAGGUGGCUUGAUAAGCCGGUUGUGAAAGCCCCGGGCUCAACCUGGGAACGGCAUCCGGAACUGUCAAGCUAGAGUGCAGGAGAGGAAGGUAGAAUUCCCGGUGUAGCGGUGAAAUGCGUAGAGAUCGGGAGGAAUACCAGUGGCGAAGGCGGCCUUCUGGACUGACACUGACACUGAGGUGCGAAAGCGUGGGUAGCAAACAGGAGUAGAUACCCCUGUAGUC
Molecule: ribosomal RNA, 465 nt
Filed under: Vreelandella stevensii
Lineage: Bacteria; Pseudomonadati; Pseudomonadota; Gammaproteobacteria; Oceanospirillales; Halomonadaceae
Description: partial 16S ribosomal RNA
Rfam family: Bacterial small subunit ribosomal RNA
Source: RNAcentral